This 472-nucleotide ribosomal RNA is filed under the name uncultured bacterium. RNAcentral's name for it is "bacterial SSU rRNA". It matches the Rfam family "Bacterial small subunit ribosomal RNA", at positions 355 to 825 of the family's 1533-position model. The record is from RNAcentral.
UGGGGAAUAUUGGACAAUGGGCGAAAGCCUGAUCCAGCCAUGCCGCGUGUGUGAAGAAGGUCUUCGGAUUGUAAAGCACUUUAGUUGUUGAGGAAGGUUGUGAGGUGAAUACCCUCAUAACUUGACGGUAAACAAAGAAUAAGCACCGGCUAACUCUGUGCCAGCAGCCGCGGUAAUACAGAGGGUGCAAGCGUUAAUCGGAAUUACUGGGCGUAAAGCGCGCGUAGGUGGUUUGUUAAGUUGGAUGUGAAAUCCCCGGGCUCAACCUGGGAACUGCAUUCAAAACUGACAAGCUAGAGUAUGGUAGAGGGUGGUGGAAUUUCCUGUGUAGCGGUGAAAUGCGUAGAUAUAGGAAGGAACACCAGUGGCGAAGGCGACCACCUGGACUGAUACUGACACUGAGGUGCGAAAGCGUGGGGAGCAAACAGGAUUAGAUACCCAUGUAGUCCCUGAGCGGGCUGGCAAGGCGCAU